CACCAGACUCCUACGGGAGGCAGCAGUGGGGAAUAUUGCACAAUGGGGGGAACCCUGAUGCAGCGACGCCGCGUGAGUGAAGAAGUAUUUCGGUAUGUAAAGCUCUAUCAGCAGGGACGAAGAUGACGGUACCUGCAGAAGAAGCCCCGGCUAACUACGUGCCAGCAGCCGCGGUAAUACGUAGGGGGCAAGCGUUAUCCGGAUUUACUGGGUGUAAAGGGGGCGCAGACGGCGAUGCAAGCCAGGAGUGAAAGCCCGGGGCCCAACCCCGGGACUGCUCUUGGAACUGCGCGGCUGGAGUGCAGGAGGGGCAGGCGGAAUUCCUGGUGUAGCGGUGAAAUGCGUAGAUAUCAGGAGGAACACCGGUGGCGAAGGCGGCCUGCUGGACUGCGACUGACGUUGAGGCCCGAAAGCGUGGGGAGCAAACAGGAUUAGAUACCCGUGUAAC
RNAcentral lists this ribosomal RNA (448 nucleotides) under uncultured bacterium. Its description in RNAcentral is "partial 16S ribosomal RNA". It matches the Rfam family "Bacterial small subunit ribosomal RNA", at positions 329 to 794 of the family's 1533-position model. The record is from RNAcentral.